GGGGUCAAACACAGGUUUAAUGGUGUAAAAUAGUGUAAAUGUGUGAUGUUUAAUAACAGGAUUAUUGAUCUCUCUCUCCUCCCUCUGAUUGGCUCGUAUCACUCAGGUGUUAUAAAACAUCAACUUUGGACCUGUUGCUCUCAGCUUUGGCUCCGCCCCACUUCCUUGUGUCCCAGCUUCUUGUCUGUGGUUAGUUAGUGGAGCAGGUGUGUAGUUUGGAACUGUUGUGUUUACACACUCAGAGACCAACAGCAUUUUCUUAGUUGCUCUCAAUGCUGCUGUUGCCCUUUGUUGCCUCGUUGCCCCACUUCACCUGCUGUGUUAGAGCUCACCUGUCCAUUCAGCAUCAGUGACACCACCUGACAGCUCAUCAUCUCAUAACGUGGAGAUGGAUCAGGACACGGUGAAGGAACAACAUGAGAUCCAGACUGAAGAUCAGAGGACCAGGGAGCAGCUCAGACCUGGACCCAGCUGUCUGUCCUUUAGAAGUGACCAGUCCAUGCACAGACUCAUUGGAUUCAAAGGAGGUCCAUCUACUGACCCACAGUGAGUCCACAUAAAGAAGGUUGCUGGUUGUCUUCCUGAUGGUCCAGGGGCCUCAUUUAUUGAUCCGUUCAAAAGAUCUGCGGAGAUGGAACAAUCUCCCCAUCUCACUACU
This 658-nucleotide long non-coding RNA is filed under the name Gouania willdenowi (blunt-snouted clingfish). Its description in RNAcentral is "lncRNA (ENSGWIG00000018371.1)". Lineage: Eukaryota; Metazoa; Chordata; Actinopteri; Blenniiformes; Gobiesocidae. The record is from RNAcentral.